AUUCGAGAAAAAUCUUCGCAAAGAAGCUGAGCCGUGCGCUCGCAUAAUCGUGUCAUUUCAUCCUCAUGAACUUCUAGGGAUUGCGUUUGGGAGAUUCAAAAUUGGAAAAAAAAAGUGUCUCAAAACGGCAAAUUGAUGCCCAAUCUAGACCAACACAGCACAAAGCUCAAGUUCUUCAACGAAUUGACCCUUUCGUCGAGGAAAUUCUCAUCACUGCUGCUCAUGUCACCUUCUAUCAGUUCAAUAUCGAACUCAGCCAAUGGGUUCGACGCUCUCUCUAUAAAUACACAUUUACAUAUGUUAUUACUGGCUCCAGUUCUCGCCCUCAUUUGUUUUUGGGCUGAGUCGCAAGGACGUGGAAGGAUCUCUCUGUCAUCAAGAGGAAUACACAGCCUCGUUUUCAGUUCAUCGUGAUGAACCGGCGGAAUACAGGUUUGUGCAUGUUUAUAUACUUCAUUCUCUUUUGUUGUAUGAAUUAUUGGAUUGGUCUAUUUUUUAUAGUAAUGAGAAAAAAGUAUGGAGUUCAGUUUAGUUAAUGUGAUUAUUGGGAAUGCUACUAACGUGAUUUGAUAUCCUUUUUUGUCUUGUCUACUGAUUGACCACUGAGAUGUGGUGCAAGAUGAAUAUUCUUAUCUUUGUUCACUUGAUUUUUAAGUAUUUCAUCUUCUAAUUUCCAUUUGUGUACCCAUCUUACAGCGUAAAAAAAAAAUGAAAUACUUAGGUCUAUCUUCAAAAUCUAAGUGAAAGGCCUUGUCAAUUGUCAUUAACUUGUUGCAAAUAAUGGGAUUCAAGUUUUAUCAGGAUAGACGGAUACAAGACGAUAUGUCAAUAGAUUUUUCAAGUACUGAGAAUCAGAUGUGUCUCGUUGAAAGCCUGAUAUUUAGCUUUAUUUUCAAAGAUACAUACAAAUAGAGAUCUAGUUGCAUUUUACUUUUUAAUAGAUUAAAAGUCAUAAUCUUUAAUGAUGGGAAGGUGAUAUCGGCUUAGGUGAUGAUGUAAAAGACUUAAACACAUCAAACAAAAGGUUAUAAGUGGACAGUCAACAUUUUGUUUGAGAAGUUUCUCAUUGUGAUUAAUUUUAAUACGAUAUCAAUGAAGGGGGUACUAUCUUGUUUUCAGUUUGAAAUUUUUGUUCUUUAGCAUAUUUUUUCACUUGUUGGACAGCAUUUUGUUCAUUGUAUUAAAUAGAUCAUUCAAUAACACUGCUACUUGGUCUUUCUGUAAAAUUUAUAGGAUAGCUUUUGUACUCUAUACAAAUUGAUCAUUUGGUAUCAUCAGUGAACUUUUUUGUGCAGUUCUUAGAUCUUAAAUAGGAUUUUAUUUCACAUCACUGGUUUGUAAUUUUUUGCGAAUUUUAAAUGAUUCCGAUACCUUCAAAUUACCUGAUUACGAUCAUGAAUUAGUUUGUUUGCUUGAAUGAGCUUCAUUAUGUUGGUGCAACCAGAUAAUUUGUUUGAAAUUCUUUUGGGGGACUUUGAGUAUGAGGUCCAGGUUCCAUAUCUCUUAUAUCGAAAUGCUGCCCAAGAAAUGAAUGGCAUUUGGUUCUACAAUGCAAGUGAAUGUGAAGAAGUUGCAAAUCUUUGUAGCAGGUAAAAUUGCCAUCUUUGAUGAAGGCUGUUUAUUGAGAUUUCAUAUUGCCUUAGUUAUAUGGAUGCUUGUGAUUGGCAUCGUUGAUUGAAGUAUCAUCCUGGCAUGGGCUUUUUGAUUUGUAAUUGGUUGCCUGUUGACCACUUUUUUGGUGAUCUGCAUCUUGUAAAGCCUUUUUGUUACUUUUCUUCUCUGUAAUUUGGCUAUGCUUUCACAAUUAUUCACUGACCAAAAUGGAGUUGUUUAGGAUCUAUAUAAUGCUUAGUCAAGUCGUUAUGUCAGGAAAAAAAGGAGCUAUUUUUCUGGCACAGUGGUAAAAUCCUCAAGCAGCCCAAUUCAAAGUUGCAAACACAUGCUUCGAGUCAUGAGAGCGGUAUCUUCAUGCAAAAUAGCUAAAGUUAGGGCUAUGUCCAAGUCAUCCAUUGUAGUACCCUGUUGGAUGAGGACCUAGGGCAAUGAGCAUUUGAUAUAUAUGAAGAAUGGUGGAUUGACUUACUGAGAAGGUGCAGUUUACAUUUGAUUCAUUCUGUUUAUUAAAACUACUAUAAACCCAUUAAUGAGCUUGAUUGCAAAUUUUCAAGAACGUCUGGCUCUGACAAUUAGAGUGGCCUUGUUAGUAUGUUGAAUAUGUUUUUUUACUAACAAGUCUGUAUGGAGUUGAAAAUAGAUAAAUCUCAUAGUAGGAAAUCACAGUGUCUAUUGUCAUACAAUUGGGACCAAAGAAUUCAAUGUUGUUGCAUGUUGACAUACGUCCGCAGCACAAGUAAUAUAUUUUCAUAGCUCUAGCAUAGCAUAAUAUAAUCUCAUAAUCAAUAUUGUUUUUUGUAUUCUUGUCAUUGUGGAUCAGUACAUCUAUUGUUUUAUAUUCCUAGAUAAGUAAGACAAAUCCUCUGACAUUUACUUAUUUGGUGAUAUACUCUGUUAUAGGUCCUUUUAGGUUGGUUUUUUGGAUAUUCUUUAUUGAUUCCUAUGUGGAUGCUGUAUGCAUAUCAAUUUGAAUGUUAAGCCGCCAUGGAACGUAUGUGUUAAUCUUAAUUCUUAGCAACUUGCAAGUCAAUCUAUCAUCUAUGUUUUUGGCAUGCCCAGCAUACUUGGUGCCUACUUCAAAGUUCCUCAGAAGUCAAAGGUAUCACCAACUAAAAGGAAAUCAUAUAUUCUUUUAAAUUUAAAAUGAUGUUCCUUUUCUUAACAAGUUGUUGAAAUAUAUAAAUCAUCUUGUUUUGCUUUUCUUUAUAUUAAAUAACAAAAAUUUUCUCAUUGAAUGGCUGGCAUUCUUCUUAAUCUUGCAUGAUAACAGUCCUUAGACUUCUGGCGUAGGUUAACACAAGGACACACACACACAUGUAUUUAUUAUUAUCAAUGGCAUAAAUAUGUGAUGGUCUGGGAACUGGCAAAGUUUGGCUUUGAUGUGAAGGUCAAAAACUAUUGAUGGCUUUAACCUCGCCCAUUUAUAACACAUGUAGAGAUUCAGCCUUAAAGACGAUCUUAUCAGGUUGAAUGACCAUGUGCUAGAAUCCUUUCAUUUUCCUGGUUUUAAAGUUAACAAAAUGUCUAAUCACAGUGAUUUUGAGGAACUGGAAGCUGUACCAACUAUGGCUGUUAUGGAUGGUCCUCUGGAGCCACCAGCAUCAACUGCUUCCAAUGUCACUGAUCUGCCAGAUGAUCCGGCCUUUGUGAACUUCUUUAGUACAGCAACGACUUUUGGGAAUGCUUCAAAUGUGACAGCUGUUGGGCAACCUCGCCGAUCUUCAACUCUGGUCCCUUUACCUUCCCAUCCAGCUAGUGUACCCACUGCCACUGUGCCAAGCUUGCAAAUACCAUCUCCUUCCUUGCCACCAUCUACUCCUUUAAUGGCAAUCCUCGAUGUCCCUCAUGCCAAAAGCACCGGCAACCAAACCACUAAUCUUGUAAAGCCUUCUUCAUUUUUUGUUCCUCCACCGUUAUCUUCUGCACGGAUGAUGCCGCCUGUCUCUUCAUCCAUUCCUACUGCUCCACUUAAUCCUACUGUGAGUCUACGAUGCCCGUAUGGAGCUCCAUUGCUUCAAUUAUUUCCACCACCCAAUCCUCCACCAUCUCUCACUCCUGCCUCUGUUCCUACUGCAAAUUAUGGACCAGUUAUUAGCAAAGAUAAAGUUCGGGAUGCACUUCUGGUGCUUGUUCAGGUUAGGUUCUCUUGUUGUGGGUAUGAUGAAUUGUUUGAAACCAGAACUGAAACUGAUUCAUGUUUAUGUUGGUUAAGUUUCAGAAUGAAAAAAAUAAAAGUGACUAAGCCCACUUCCUCCGACUCCUUUGUUUAUUGAUGACUGAUAAUCAUGGACUCACUACGUGCUUAUAGCAUAAUGAAGAAUUGACUGUCCUUGGAUCUGAAGCUUGCAUGUAAUAGUAUUAGUUUGCCUGCAUAAAACAUAAGCAGCAAAAAUGUAAGCCAAGAAAUGUUGUUCACUCUGGCCGGUAGGCAUAGGAAAAUAUUAAUAGUAGUCAUUUUUUCUUACUCUGUUUAAGCAAUUGUCAACCUUUGGCGAUUUCAUAGCCCGAAAGCUAUUAUGGGGUCAGGGCUCAUUGUUGGAGCUUGCAUUAUGAUGUGGUUUGCUUAAUAUCAGUCCAACACCUCUGUUACUGAUUCUUAAUCUUGCCAUUGCUAUAGUUCCAAACACAUCUGACAAGCUUUCCUUGCCAAUGUUAGGACAAUCAAUUUAUUGACAUGGUGUAUCGAGCGCUGCUGAAUCCACACCAUUCUUGACAAAUUGGAAUGGGUCAUGACCAUAUCUACUCGCUGGGGUUUUUGUUCACUGUGAAGCUUUUUUUCCCAUCAAGUGUGAAAGAUCAAAUCUGUAUAGCAUUUUGCCCGGUUUGAUGACGGUACUCAUCUUAAAAAAAUAUAUAUAUAUAUUUGAUUUGUCUCUUAUUUUUUCUGAAGCUGAUCAAUAUAUUCCAAUCUUUGGUUGUCAUUCCAUACUCGUUGUUAGUAAGGCGCUGAUGUCUCGUGGGCUUGGCUAUUGAUUUCUUUGUUGUG
Molecule: unclassified non-coding RNA, 4600 nt
Filed under: Hevea brasiliensis (rubber tree)
Lineage: Eukaryota; Viridiplantae; Streptophyta; Magnoliopsida; Malpighiales; Euphorbiaceae
Source: RNAcentral